RNAcentral lists this ribosomal RNA (292 nucleotides) under uncultured bacterium. RNAcentral's name for it is "partial 16S ribosomal RNA". It matches the Rfam family "Bacterial small subunit ribosomal RNA", at positions 505 to 796 of the family's 1533-position model. The record is from RNAcentral.
GUGCCAGCAGCCGCGGUAAUACGGAGGGUGCAAGCGUUAUCCGGAUUCACUGGGUUUAAAGGGUGCGUAGGUGGCUUUGUAAGUCAGUGGUGAAAUCUCGGAGCUUAACUCCGAAACUGCCAUUGAUACUGCUUAGCUUGAAUCAAGUAGAGGUGGAUGGAAUAUUACAUGUAGCGGUGAAAUGCUUAGAUAUGUAAUAGAACACCGAUUGCGAAGGCAGUUCACUAUGCUUGUAUUGACACUGAGGCACGAAAGCGUGGGGAUCAAACAGGAUUAGAAACCCUGGUAGUCC